CCUACGGGAGGCAGCAGUAAGGAAUAUUGGACAAUGCUCGCAAGAGUGAUCCAGCCAUGCCGCGUGCAGGAAGAAUGCCCUAUGGGUAGUAAACUGCUUUUGAACUAGAGAAAAUCCCAGUACGUGUACUGGGCUGAUAGUAUAGUUAGAAUAAGCAUCGGCUAACUUCGUGCCAGCAGCCGCGGUAAGACGAAGGAUGCAAGCGUUAUCCGGGAUUCAUUGGGUUUAAAGGGAGCGUAGGUGGACUGAUAAGUCAGUGGUGAAAUCUCCGAGCUUAACUCGGAAAUUGCC
Molecule: ribosomal RNA, 291 nt
Filed under: uncultured bacterium
Lineage: Bacteria
Description: partial 16S ribosomal RNA
Rfam family: Bacterial small subunit ribosomal RNA
Source: RNAcentral